This 205-nucleotide unclassified non-coding RNA is filed under the name Hevea brasiliensis (rubber tree). Lineage: Eukaryota; Viridiplantae; Streptophyta; Magnoliopsida; Malpighiales; Euphorbiaceae. The record is from RNAcentral.
GCUGAAUUUAUAAAAGAAAAAGAAACAGUUGAUGUACUUCUUGGAAACGAAAGACUUUCAAGUAAAAAAUUUGGAAUUAGUUAUGAUGGUUUUAUGAAAUAUGGAAAAUACAAAAAUUAUUUUAUUAAAGCUUCAUCUUCUUCACAACCAAGCAUUAUAUGUUUUUAUUAUAAUCGUAAAAGUCAUAUGGUUAAUGCUUGUCCUA